UCGGGAAUUUUGGGCAAUGGGCGAAAGCCUGACCCAGCAACGCCGCGUGAGGGAUGAAGCAUUUCGGUAUGUAAACCUCGAAAGAAUGGGAAGAAUAAAUGACGGUACCAUUUAUAAGCUCCGGCUAACUACGUGCCAGCAGCCGCGGUAAUACGUAGGGAGCAAGCGUUGUUCGGAGUUACUGGGCGUAAAGGGCGCGUAGGCGGCGCGGUAAGUCACUUGUGAAAUCUCUGAGCUUAACUCAGAACGGCCAAGUGAUACUGCUGUGCUAGAGUGCGGAAGAGGCAACCGGACUUCUUGGUGUAGCGGUGAAAUGCGUAGAUAUCAAGAGGAACACCUGCGGCGAAGGCGGGUUGCUGGGCCGACACUGACGCUGAUGC
RNAcentral lists this ribosomal RNA (380 nucleotides) under uncultured bacterium. Its description in RNAcentral is "bacterial SSU rRNA". It matches the Rfam family "Bacterial small subunit ribosomal RNA", at positions 355 to 752 of the family's 1533-position model. The record is from RNAcentral.